CAGGGAAACAGCUAUAGCUUGAACUUUGCAUAAAACUGAUGUUUCUGGCCAGGCGUGAGUCACCAUGCCCAGCCUCAAGUAGGUUUUUAAUGAAUUUCUUAUACUUUUAAAAUACAACAUUAUGGCAAUAAAAGACUAUUCCACUUCUUUUCUAAUCUGGAGAUUGUAUUGAUUUUUCUAGUAUAAUUUUCUGGCUCAUACCUCCAGUACAGUGGUGAAUAGUGGUAAAAGUAGAAAUUCUCGUCCUGUUUUCAAACUUGCAGAUAAAGCCCCUAGUCAUUCACCAUUAAGUAUAUUAGCUUUUGGUGUGGAGUUUUUCAUCUUGGCUCACUGCAGCCUCAACCUCUUAAGCUCAAGUGAUCCUCCCACCUUAACUGCCUGAGUAGUUGGGACAAUAGGCAUGCACCACCAUGCCCAGAUAAUUUGUUUUUUAAUAUUUUGUAAAGAUGGGGAUUCCCUAUAUUGUCCAGAAUGGUCUUGAACUCCUGGCUUUAUGCAGUCUUUCCACCUCAGCCUCCCAAAGUUCUGGGUUACAGGUGUGAGCCACUGCGCCGGGCCAAUUUUGGUUUUUCAUGGAGGACUUUUAGCAGGUCUCAAAAGUUUUCUUCUAAUAGUUUUCUUGGUGUUCUAU
This 631-nucleotide long non-coding RNA is filed under the name Pan troglodytes (chimpanzee). RNAcentral describes it as "long non-coding RNA NONPTRT001543". The record is from RNAcentral. Lineage: Eukaryota; Metazoa; Chordata; Mammalia; Primates; Hominidae.